CGCAUCUGUGCAUGCAGCAUAUCAAUAAGCGGAGGAAAAGUACGAUGACAUGUAUACCUACGCUUAGGAUGUUGACACACGCGCGUGCUCGACUCUACACAUGACUCUGUGCAUAUCAAUAAGCGGAGGAAAAGAAACUAACAAGGAUUCCCUUAGUAACGGCGAGUGAAGCGGGAAGAGCUCAAAUUUGAAAUCUUCAAGGUUUUACCUUGACGAAUUGUAGUUUAAAGAAGUGUUUUCUGUUGAAGUUUUGGUAAAAGUUCUUUGGAAUAGGACAUCAUAGAGGGUGAGAAUCCCGUAUUUGACCAUUAUUUUCAGCUGUGUGAUACACUUUCAAAGAGUCGGAUUGUUUGGGAAUGCAGUCCAAAAUGGGUGGUAAAUUUCAUCUAAAGCUAAAUAUUGGCGAGAGACCGAUAGCGAACAAGUACCGUGAGGGAAAGAUGAAAAGAACUUUGAAAAGAGAGUUAAACAGUACGUGAAAUUGUCAAAAGGGAAGCGUUUGACACCAGUGUUGUUUUCUCGAAAAUCAAUUAAAAAGAGUUUGAUUUUGUUGUGUAUUGACCUUAACAGCUUGCAUUUCAAUUUUCUUGCUUUUUUAAUGCACUUUUCGUUUAACAAGUCAACAUCAGUUUCUUUUGUUGUAAAAAGGUCAUUGGAAGGUGGCUUUCUUUUCGGAGAAAGUGUUUAUAGCCUUUGACUCCUGCAAUCGGAGAGACUGAGGUCUGCAGCGUAGAUCCUUCGGGGUUAGAUGCAUUUGUGCUAAGUUAUGGCUUUUUAUAGACAACUUGUUGACUAUGAUUAGUCUUGUAGCUUACUCGCUUAUGCUAUUUUACCUACGCUUAGGAUGUUGACACACGCGCGUGCUCG
This 867-nucleotide ribosomal RNA is filed under the name uncultured Neocallimastigales. RNAcentral's name for it is "partial large subunit ribosomal RNA". It matches the Rfam family "Eukaryotic large subunit ribosomal RNA", at positions 1 to 646 of the family's 3401-position model. The record is from RNAcentral. Lineage: Eukaryota; Fungi; Neocallimastigomycota; Neocallimastigomycetes; Neocallimastigales.